Molecule: non-coding RNA, 44 nt
Filed under: Trypanosoma brucei brucei
Lineage: Eukaryota; Euglenozoa; Kinetoplastea; Trypanosomatida; Trypanosomatidae
Source: RNAcentral
AAAUGUAAUAAAUCUGAUGAAAGUGAGGUAGAAUUGAGAAUAUA